Molecule: long non-coding RNA, 357 nt
Organism: Sinocyclocheilus grahami
Lineage: Eukaryota; Metazoa; Chordata; Actinopteri; Cypriniformes; Cyprinidae
Exons: 3
Source: RefSeq, a predicted model, not a curated record
UUAUGAAGACGGUUUGAGGAACAGGAUGCUGUGCUGUUUCAGCCGUGUUUAGUCAACUAACUGUAGCAACUACCGUUUACAGGCCUGAGGGCAAGUGACAUGCUAAUGGUCAACUAUUGUCAAGGUGGAGCAACAGUUUGAAGAGAAUCUUGCAGAACAAGUCAGCAAAAUCUGUGGAAUGCUGGGAAGGGUUAAAGUGUUGGAUGUCGAGACCCGAGGCGCCUCACGCUUCGCUGAUGACCCCUGUGCUUUCUCUAGCGAGUCGUGCCCUAACCUCGCUCCUAGCGACAGCCACUUUUCCCAUGAGCAGAAGAAGCGGCCCAUCAGUGACCUGAGACACUACUGAAAGCCUGAUGU